Molecule: small nuclear RNA, 21 nt
Filed under: Arabidopsis thaliana (thale cress)
Lineage: Eukaryota; Viridiplantae; Streptophyta; Magnoliopsida; Brassicales; Brassicaceae
Description: snRNA_03249
Source: RNAcentral
GCGGAAAAAUUACGAGUUUAC